RNAcentral lists this transfer RNA (73 nucleotides) under Rhipicephalus microplus (southern cattle tick). RNAcentral's name for it is "tRNA-Gln". It matches the Rfam family "tRNA". Rfam says of the family: Transfer RNA (tRNA) molecules are approximately 80 nucleotides in length. Their secondary structure includes four short double-helical elements and three loops (D, anti-codon, and T loops). The record is from Rfam by way of RNAcentral. Lineage: Eukaryota; Metazoa; Arthropoda; Arachnida; Ixodida; Ixodidae.
GGUCUCAUGGUGUAACGGUUAGCACUCCUGGACUCUGAAUCCAGCGAUCCGAGUUCAAUUCUCGGUGAGACCU